Molecule: ribosomal RNA, 515 nt
Filed under: uncultured bacterium
Lineage: Bacteria
Description: partial 16S ribosomal RNA
Rfam family: Bacterial small subunit ribosomal RNA
Source: RNAcentral
GAUGAACGCUGGCGGCGUGCCUAAUACAUGCAAGUCGAGCGAAUGGAUUGAGAGCUUGCUCUUAUGAAGUUAGCGGCGGACGGGUGAGUAACACGUGGGUAACCUGCCCAUAAGACUGGGAUAACUCCGGGGAACCGGGGCUAAUACCGGAUAACAUUUUGAACCGCAUGGUUCGAAAUUGAAAGGCGGCUUCGGCUGUCGCUUAUGGAUGGACCCGCGUCGCAUUAGCUAGUUGGUGAGGUAACGGCUCACCAAGGCAACGAUGCGUAGCCGACCUGAGAGGGUGAUCGGCCACACUGGGACUGAGACACGGCCCAGACUCCUACGGGAGGCAGCAGUAGGGAAUCUUCCGCAAUGGACGAAAGUCUGACGGAGCAACGCCGCGUGAGUGAUGAAGGCUUUCGGGUCGUAAAACUCUGUUGUUAGGGAAGAACAAGUGCUAGUUGAAUAAGCUGGCACCUUGACGGUACCUAACCAGAAAGCCACGGCUAACUACGUGCCAGCCGCCGCCGUAA